Molecule: ribosomal RNA, 253 nt
Filed under: uncultured bacterium
Lineage: Bacteria
Description: partial 16S ribosomal RNA
Rfam family: Bacterial small subunit ribosomal RNA
Source: RNAcentral
UACGUAGGGUGCAAGCGUUGUCCGGAAUUAUUGGGCGUAAAGAGCUCGUAGGCGGUCUGUUGCGUCGGCUGUGAAAACCCGGGGCUCAACUCCGGGCCUGCAGCCGAUACGGGCAGACUAGAGUUCGGCAGGGGAGACUGGAAUUCCUGGUGUAGCGGUGAAAUGCGCAGAUAUCAGUAGGAACACCGGUGGCGAAGGCGGGUCUCUGGGCCGAUACUGACGCUGAGGAGCGAAAGCGUGGGGAGCGAACAGG